This 1200-nucleotide long non-coding RNA is filed under the name Betta splendens (Siamese fighting fish). RNAcentral describes it as "lncRNA (ENSBSLG00000019383.1)". Lineage: Eukaryota; Metazoa; Chordata; Actinopteri; Anabantiformes; Osphronemidae. The record is from RNAcentral.
CACAAUGACAACCAAGCAGGAGGCAAAACACAGACGUUCCAGGACUCAUUAAUAACGGUGGCGUUCGAAUUAAAAAUACGUUGACGUUUGAUCUGCAUUUCAAUCAGGCAAAGCAGCCUCAGUCAGAAGACGAAAGGCCCGUAAACCCAACAAACGACUGUGACGACCCCGCAGUUGUGUGGUUAAUAGGCACCGGUGGCUUGCGAGGAGGAGGGAGGCCUCGGCCGUGCGCUCUGGCCCUCUUUUAGCUCAGGACGGGCCUCGUCAUAUGGUGGAUUUGGGCCGCCGACUAAAUUAGCCACCACGGAAACAGCCCUGGGCGACUGCAGCGCCUGCUCCUCGCCACAGACCCUCCAUCGUCAUGAAAAAUAAAACAGAUACAACGCCCCCGCGUUAGGGAAGCUUUCAAACCCUGCUCAGCCUCGGCUUUAAUAUUUCAUGGCGUCCUCUUACUUAUUUUAGUGGGAAUAAUUGAUCUGGAAAGAGCACUGCCAUGCAGAAAUGAAAGGCUCAGAGGAGCCGGUCAAAAAAAAAAAAAAGUUCUAUUAUAGUUUUGACAACCCCAGAUUCUGCAGCCUUUUUAUAUUUUGCUUGAUGCCUGGGACUAAACCAGAGAAUAGAAAGAAUGGCUUUAACUACGGUUUCUGAUUCAUUGAGGAGAAAACGCAUUACGUGGCGCAGCUUCACCCAGAAAGACAAAAUGUUCCACAGCUUGUUUAACAGCUAAUGGAUAGUCGCUUUAAAAGGUGCAUCGCAUGGCGCUGUGCAAAACAUUUCCAUCAGCAACCUCACUCCACUUUAUUAGGCUCCGACAUAUUCAUUGGCCAACUGCUGUCCCAUCCAUUUAGACAAAUAUUUGCUGGCAACACAAAUAAAUAAGUCCAUUCAGCUCUGAACAGGCCUUGUUUGUGGUAUUGACUGUUAUUGUUGCCAUUGUGUUUUUCAUUCCAGCAGCCAGUGCAGGAGGACCGCAGACACAAUUGAUUCCUUCGCUGGGAUGAGGGCGGAGGUCACUCAGGGCCAGGAGCAGUAUUCAUCGACGCUCCAGAACCACCUCCUGAGAUCUGCACCUGCCAGCGCCGCGUCGCCCGCGCAGGAGCCGAGCCCGCCGUCGCCAGCCGUCGCCGCGGACAACCGGAGGAUGCGAGCCCACGAGCACGGGGACCAGUAGGUGUCUCUGCAGCACAAACAACCCCUCCG